RNAcentral lists this ribosomal RNA (1049 nucleotides) under uncultured bacterium. Its description in RNAcentral is "bacterial SSU rRNA". It matches the Rfam family "Bacterial small subunit ribosomal RNA", at positions 90 to 1140 of the family's 1533-position model. The record is from RNAcentral.
GGCGACCGGCGCACGGGUGAGUAACGCGUAUGCAACUUACCUAUCAGAGGGGAAUAGCCCGGCGAAAGUCGGAUUAAUGCCCCAUAAAACAGGGGUCCCGCAUGGGACUAUUUGUUAAAGAUUCAUCGCUGAUAGAUAGGCAUGCGUUCCAUUAGGCAGUUGGCGGGGUAACGGCCCACCAAACCGACGAUGGAUAGGGGUUCUGAGAGGAAGGUCCCCCACAUUGGAACUGAGACACGGUCCAAACUCCUACGGGAGGCAGCAGUGAGGAAUAUUGGUCAAUGGACGUGAGUCUGAACCAGCCAAGUCGCGUGAAGGAAGAAGGUUCUAUGGAUUGUAAACUUCUUUUAUACGGGAAUAAAGUGCAUCACGUGUGGUGUUUUGUAAAUACCGUAUGAAUAAGCAUCGGCUAACUCCGUACCAGCAGCCGCGGUAAUACGGAGGAUGCGAGCGUUAUCCGGAUUUAUUGGGUUUAAAGGGUGCGUAGGUUGUUUUUUAAGUCAGCGGUGAAAGUUUGUGGCUCAACCAUAAAAUUGCCGUUGAAACUGGAAGACUUGAGUGUGUUUGAGGUAGGCGGAAUGCGUGGUGUAGCGGUGAAAUGCAUAGAUAUCACGCAGAACUCCGAUUGCGAAGGCAGCUUACUAAACCAUAACUGACACUGAAGCACGAAAGCGUGGGGAUCAAACAGGAUUAGAUACCCUGGUAGUCCACGCAGUAAACGAUGAUUACUAGGAGUUUGCGAUAUACAGUAAGCUCUACAGCGAAAGCGUUAAGUAAUCCACCUGGGGAGUACGCCGGCAACGGUGAAACUCAAAGGAAUUGACGGGGGCCCGCACAAGCGGAGGAACAUGUGGUUUAAUUCGAUGAUACGCGAGGAACCUUACCCGGGUUUGAACGUAGUCGGACCGGCCUUGAAAGAGGCCUUCUAGCAAUAGCUGAUUACGAGGUGCUGCAUGGUUGUCGUCAGCUCGUGCCGUGAGGUGUCGGCUUAAGUGCCAUAACGAGCGCAACCCUUAUCACUAGUUACUAACAGGUAAAGUUGAGGACUC